Molecule: ribosomal RNA, 440 nt
Filed under: uncultured bacterium
Lineage: Bacteria
Description: partial 16S ribosomal RNA
Rfam family: Bacterial small subunit ribosomal RNA
Source: RNAcentral
CCUACGGGGGGCAGCAGUGGGGAAUAUUGCACAAUGGAGGGAACUCUGAUGCAGCGACGCCGCGUGAGUGAAGAAGUAAUUCGUUAUGUAAAGCUCUAUCAGCAGGGAAGAAAGUGACGGUACCUGAAAAAGAAGCUCCGGAUAAUUACGUGCCAGCAGCCGCGGGAAUACGUAUGGAGCAAGCGUUAUCCGGAUUUACUGGGUGUAAAGGGAGAGUAGGUGGCAGAGCAAGUCCGAAGUGAAAGCCCGAAGCUCAACUAUGGGAAUGCUAUAGAAACUGGUCAUCUAGAGUACAGGAGAGGCAAGUGGAAUUCUUGGUGUAGCGGUGAAAUGCGUAGAUAUUAGGAAGAACACCGAUGGCGAAGGCGGCUUGCUAAACUGUAACUGACACUGAGGCUCGAAAGCGUGGGUAGCAAACAGGAUUAGAUACCCGAGUAGUC